GGGCGUUUAGCUCAGUUGGUUAGAGCGUCAGCUCGACAAGCUGAAGGUCACUGGUUCGAGUCCAGUAACGCCCA
Molecule: transfer RNA, 74 nt
Filed under: Planctomycetota bacterium
Lineage: Bacteria; Pseudomonadati; Planctomycetota
Description: Planctomycetes bacterium (hot springs metagenome) tRNA-Val
Rfam family: tRNA
About the family: Transfer RNA (tRNA) molecules are approximately 80 nucleotides in length. Their secondary structure includes four short double-helical elements and three loops (D, anti-codon, and T loops).
Source: RNAcentral